This 496-nucleotide ribosomal RNA is filed under the name uncultured bacterium. RNAcentral describes it as "partial 16S ribosomal RNA". It matches the Rfam family "Bacterial small subunit ribosomal RNA", at positions 28 to 507 of the family's 1533-position model. The record is from RNAcentral.
GACGAACGCUGGCGGCGUGCCUAAUACAUGCAAGUAGAACGCUGAAGAGAGGAGCUUGCUCUUCUUGGAUGAGUUGCGAACGGGUGAGUAACGCGUAGGUAACCUGCCUUGUAGCGGGGGAUAACUAUUGGAAACGAUAGCUAAUACCGCAUAACAAUGGAUGACACAUGUCAUUUAUUUGAAAGGGGCAAUUGCUCCACUACAAGAUGGACCUGCGUUGUAUUAGCUAGUAGGUGAGGUAAUGGCCCACCUAGGCGACGAUACAUAGCCGACCUGAGAGGGUGAUCGGCCACACUGGGACUGAGACACGGCCCAGACUCCUACGGGAGGCAGCAGUGGGGAAUAUUGGACAAUGGGGGAAACCCUGACCGAGCCACGCCGCGUGUGUGAAGAAGGUUUUCGGAUUGUAAAGCUCUUUUAGUGGGGAGGAAGGGGAGUAAGUUAAGAACUUGCUGCUUUGACGGGAACCUCAGAAGAAGGAACGGCUAACUUCGUG